GAUGCAAAUAUCAGGCAGCUAUACUUUCCUAUCUGAAAGGGAAAUAGAAGAUCUCUGCAGAGCCUGCGGCCUGGUUGAUUUUAAAUGUACAAGGAACAGAGGUUUUGUUAUGUUUACUGCUACAAAACCCAGCUAAAAUUGACUGCCUAUCAGCAGUUGCUCUCCACUCUGCUCCGUGCUCUCAAAUUAUUGAGUCUACAAAAAAGCAGUUAUUGGACCAACUGUCUCAGAAGAUAAAUUAUUGUCUUUUGUGUUAAGAGAAUGCUUGGUGAUAUAGGAAUGUAGUGUAAGGUUAGAGAAUGCUUGGUGAUAUAG
RNAcentral lists this long non-coding RNA (315 nucleotides) under Citrus x clementina. Its description in RNAcentral is "Citrus clementina (C. clementina) long non-coding RNA (CCLE_LNC003049)". The record is from RNAcentral. Lineage: Eukaryota; Viridiplantae; Streptophyta; Magnoliopsida; Sapindales; Rutaceae.